CCUACGGGGGGCAGCAGUAGGGAAUCUUUCACAAUGGGCGAAAGCCUGAUGGAGCAACGCCGCGUGCAGGAUGAAGGCCUUCGGGUUGUAAACUGCUUUUAUAAGCGAGAAAUAUGAUGGUAACUUAUGAAUAAGGAUCGGCUAACUACGUGCCAGCAGCCGCGGUCAUACGUAGGAUCCGAGCAUUAUCCGGAGUGACUGGGGGUAAAGAGUUGCGUAGGUGGCAUAAUAAGUAGCUAGUGAAAUCUGGUGGCUCAACCAUUCAGACUAUUAGCUAAACUGUUAAGCUCGAGACCGUUAGGGGUAACUGGAAUUUCUAGUGUAGGAGUGAAAUCCGUAGAUAUUAGAAGGAACACCAAUAGCGUAGGCAGGUUGCUGGGACGGUUCUGACACUAAGGCACGAAAGCGUAGGGAGCAAACGGGAUUAGAUACCCGUGUAGUC
RNAcentral lists this ribosomal RNA (442 nucleotides) under uncultured bacterium. Its description in RNAcentral is "partial 16S ribosomal RNA". It matches the Rfam family "Bacterial small subunit ribosomal RNA", at positions 338 to 795 of the family's 1533-position model. The record is from RNAcentral.